Molecule: long non-coding RNA, 454 nt
Filed under: Brassica rapa (field mustard)
Lineage: Eukaryota; Viridiplantae; Streptophyta; Magnoliopsida; Brassicales; Brassicaceae
Description: long non-coding RNA (BRAP_LNC002442)
Source: RNAcentral
UUUAUCCGAGAUCUAGAUUCGAUCCAAGAUUCGAUCCGGAUCCGAUCCGAAAAUCCGGAUAGUAAAAUGUUGGAUCCGUCAAAACCGGAUCUGGAUAUGGAUAUCUUAAUUUUUUAGUAUAGAUAUCCCGAUCCGUAAUUUUUAAUAAUAACUAUUUCAAAAAUAGUAAUAUCUAUAUAUAAAAUUAAUUUUAUUUAAUAUAUUUUCAUUUUUAUAAUAGUAUAUAUAAAGUUUAUAUAAAUUUUUAAUAUUAUACAUAGAAAUAAUUGAAAACAUUAUAUAUUUUUUAAAAAUUAUUUUUAAUAUUUUAUAUAUAUUAUUAUUAUUUUUUUAUUUUUUUUAUUUUAAGGAUCCAAAUCCGGAUUCGUAUAUCCGCCGAAUAUUACAACUUUUAGAAGGAUAUCCGACACCCGAAUAUCCGAAAACCCCGGAUCCGGAUAAGGAUAGUAAAAUU